UGGAGAGAGAUGGGAGCAGGCAUGGCGCCAGGGAAAUUCUUGCCCUUAAAGCUAUCCCCCUUCGUGGACCCAGAAAGAGAACACAUUCCCUCAGAGGGACUCUACAAAGUAGACAAAGUAGACUCUGACGAAGCCCAGAAUGAAUCCCUUCAUUGUCAUUGUAAUAUCUUUGGAAUCCACAGUGAGAUCCUUUAUGUUGUGAGGAAUUGAAACAGUCAAAUUAACAAGAGCGUAUUCGGAGGAAUCAACAAUACAUACUUUGUCAAGUUGCUGCCAGAUUGAAACGCCUUUGCAAAAUUGUGACUGAGACAGUGAAAAAGAUCUAACUUAACCAACUCCAUCUUGCUUCUAACUUCCAAGCUGUCUGUGUUCAUUCCUGGGCAUAAGCUGCUAACUUUGGGAAAAACUUGAUUUGUAGUUUCAAACAAAGAUGAUAACAGCCCUUUCCCAAAGCAGACCUCCUUCUUGUCUAGGGACUAGAUUGCCUUUGUAGGACUAACAAAUUAGCCACAAGAUUAGAAGUUAGGUUUAGGGGUCAUGCAGCUGGAGGCUGCAAGAUUCUGACCCUCCCUAAACUGCCCCUAAGAUCAGUACUUGAGAUAUUUUGCAAACCCUGCAUUUGAUGGAUCCGCUUCCACCACCCAGAUUGAUAAACUGGCUCAUCUGAUCUUGUAGCCUCACCGAGGAACUGACUCAGCACAAGAAGACAGCUUUGACUCCCUAUGAUUUCACCUCUAACAAAUCUGCACUCCUGGUUCACUGGCUUCCCUGUACCCUCAAGUUGUCCUUAAAAACUCUGCUCCCCAAAUGCUGAGGGAGACUGAUUUGAGUACUAAUAAAACACUGGUCUCCUGCACAGCCAGCUCUUCAUGAACUGCUCUUUCUCAAUUGGAAUUCUCCUGACUUGAGAAAUUGAUUCUGUCUAGGCAGUGGGCAAGGUGAACCCAUUGGGUGGUUACAAAACUAUAAUUAGGUACUAGAUACAAAAUGCACAGUGCCCACACAUUGUAGGAAUUGACCAUCUCUAUAAACCAGGAAAACUGCUCCCUCAUACCUCCUGCCCGUGGCAGCUGAAGAGUAAACCCACUAAGAACAUGCCACAAUAAUCACAUCCUACUAAAUACUAUCAUAGACGUUAUGUUCACUGCAUAACAUUCUUGAGAUCAAAGCCAGGUAUGAGCAUUUUAAACAGUUUUAGAGAAAGUAUUUCAAACUAUUACUUUACCUAAAAACCAUUUGCCAGUUAAACCUGGUUUGAAUUCAAAUGCUCUGCUCCACAUGAAAUUCCAACUGACACAAGAACAGAAAAUGAAACACCGCAUAUUCUCACUCAUAGGUGGGUGAUGAAAAAUGAGAACACAUGGACACA
Callithrix jacchus (white-tufted-ear marmoset) is the source of this 1369-nucleotide long non-coding RNA. RefSeq lists it as uncharacterized. NCBI's taxonomy places the organism in Eukaryota, Metazoa, Chordata, Mammalia, Primates, Cebidae. The record is from RefSeq and is a predicted model, not a curated record.